CUUAGCUCAGCUGGAUAGAGCACCGGCCUUCUAAGCCGUAGGUCACAGGUUCGAAUCCUGUA
RNAcentral lists this transfer RNA (62 nucleotides) under Pseudescherichia vulneris (CDC Enteric Group 1). It matches the Rfam family "tRNA", at positions 7 to 64 of the family's 71-position model. Rfam says of the family: Transfer RNA (tRNA) molecules are approximately 80 nucleotides in length. Their secondary structure includes four short double-helical elements and three loops (D, anti-codon, and T loops). Further hydrogen bonds mediate the characteristic L-shaped molecular structure. tRNAs have two regions of fundamental functional importance: the anti-codon, which is responsible for specific mRNA codon recognition, and the 3' end, to which the tRNAs corresponding amino acid is attached (by aminoacyl-tRNA synthetases). tRNAs cope with the degeneracy of the genetic code in two manners: having more than one tRNA (with a specific anti-codon) for a particular amino acid; and 'wobble' base-pairing, i.e. permitting non-standard base-pairing at the 3rd anti-codon position. RNAcentral also lists the same sequence under 6 other names. The record is from RNAcentral. Lineage: Bacteria; Pseudomonadati; Pseudomonadota; Gammaproteobacteria; Enterobacterales; Enterobacteriaceae.